Molecule: ribosomal RNA, 430 nt
Filed under: Escherichia coli
Lineage: Bacteria; Pseudomonadati; Pseudomonadota; Gammaproteobacteria; Enterobacterales; Enterobacteriaceae
Description: bacterial SSU rRNA
Rfam family: Bacterial small subunit ribosomal RNA
Source: RNAcentral
GGGGGACCUUCGGGCCUCUUCCCUAUCGGAUGUGCCCAGAUGGGAUUAGCUAGUAGGUGGGGUAACGGCUCACCUAGGCGACGAUCCCUAGCUGGUCUGAGAGGAUGACCAGCCACACUGGAACUGAGACACGGUCCAGACUCCUACGGGAGGCAGCAGUGGGGAAUAUUGCACAAUGGGCGCAAGCCUGAUGCAGCCAUGCCGCGUGUAUGAAGAAGGCCUUCGGGUUGUAAAGUACUUUCAGCGGGGAGGAAGGGAGUAAAGUUAAUACCUUUGCUCAUUGACGUUACCCGCAGAAGAAGCACCGGCUAACUCCGUGCCAGCAGCCGUUGUAUUAUGGAGGGUGCAAGCGUUAAUCGGAGUGAGGGGGGCGUAACCCGCACGCAGGCGGUUUGUUAAGUCAGAUGUGAAAUCCCCCGGGCUAAAGUUC